GAUGAACGCUGGCGGCGUGCUUAACACAUGCCAGUCGAACGGAAAGGCUCCUGCUUGCAGGGGUACUCGAGUGGCGAACGGGUGAGUAACACGUGGGUGAUCUGCCCUGCACUUCGGGAUAAGCCUGGGAAACUGGGUCUAAUACCGGAGAGGACGAUGGUUUGGAUGCCAUUGUGGAAAGUUUUUCGGUGUGGGAUGAGCUCGCGGCCUAUCAGCUUGUUGGGGGGGUAAUGGCCUACCAAGGGGUCGACGGGUAGCCGGCCUGGGAGGGUGUACGGCCACAUUGGGACUGAGGUACGGCCCAGACUCCUACGGGAGGCAGCAGUGGGGAAUAUUGCACAGUGGGCGCAAGCCUGAUGCAGCGACGCCGCGUGGGGGAUGACGGCCUUCGGGUUGUAAACUCCUUUCGCUAGGGACGAAGCGCAAGUGACGGUACCUGGAGAAGAAGCACCGGCUAACUACGUG
RNAcentral lists this ribosomal RNA (465 nucleotides) under uncultured bacterium. RNAcentral describes it as "partial 16S ribosomal RNA". It matches the Rfam family "Bacterial small subunit ribosomal RNA", at positions 28 to 507 of the family's 1533-position model. The record is from RNAcentral.